UCUGUGUAAAUGGUGUUAGACAAAACAUUAUGUCUCUGAAACAACAAUGACGGUUAACUUUUUUGUUUUCUUCUAAUUACAACAUUGCUGUAGGCAAAUGAACUUGCAGUUGACUCAGAGCAGCAGCACAGGCCAGACCAACAGCAGUACCGGCCUGAGAGCAGACCUUCUUCGAUCUAGAAUAGCCCAUCCCAGCCCAGACUACAACAGUCCCAGAAGCAGCAACGAUCCACAGCAACUGAAUUUCUAUGUAGCAAGUGAAAGAGCCUUCAGAAAGGGCAGCAGGAAGGAAGAAAAUGUGUCAGAGGGAGGUGUCGCCCAGCAUUACAGUCCGGUGAUCAGCAUACACAUGCACAACCACGCACACACGCAUACACACAUGCUCAUACACUUAAACAUUUUCAUUCAGUUUCCCAAACACACUGUGGGGAGAAAAGCCUAACCAAACAUGUUAUGAAGAUAAACUACAGCCAAGAGACUUUUCCUUCAUAAUCAGCAUGUGCAAAAUGAACAGUUACUUGAAAAGAGCAUGGUAGUGAUGCAUCCAAGUCUGUAACAUGUAUUUUGUCUGAUGAAAGUUAAUUGUUUCCCCUGCGGGUAGAAAUAGUCCUGGCCACCUCAUUUAUGUCUAUCUGCUUUUGGUAAAUUAAGAAAAAAGGACAUUGUACCUUUUGGCUGUUUUGCCACCAGGAUUGAAAAUAAACACUUCGCUUGGAGUUUCA
Engraulis encrasicolus (European anchovy) is the source of this 722-nucleotide long non-coding RNA. RefSeq lists it as uncharacterized. The record is from RefSeq and is a predicted model, not a curated record. NCBI's taxonomy places the organism in Eukaryota, Metazoa, Chordata, Actinopteri, Clupeiformes, Engraulidae. The transcript is spliced from 2 exons.